UUUAUGGAGAGUUUGAUCCUGGCUCAGGAUGAACGCUGGCGGCGUGCCUAAUACAUGCAAGUCGAGCGAACGGACGAGAAGCUUGCUUCUCUGAUGUUAGCGGCGGACGGGUGAGUAACACGUGGAUAACCUACCUAUAAGACUGGGAUAACUUCGGGAAACCGGA
This 166-nucleotide ribosomal RNA is filed under the name Staphylococcus aureus. RNAcentral's name for it is "partial 16S ribosomal RNA". It matches the Rfam family "Bacterial small subunit ribosomal RNA", at positions 1 to 161 of the family's 1533-position model. The record is from RNAcentral. Lineage: Bacteria; Bacillati; Bacillota; Bacilli; Caryophanales; Staphylococcaceae.